GACGAACGCUGGCGGCGUGCCUAAUACAUGCAAGUAGAACGCACAGUUUAUACCGUAGCUUGCUACACCAUAGACUGUGAGUUGCGAACGGGUGAGUAACGCGUAGGUAACCUGCCUGGGAGCGGGGGAUAACUAUUGGAAACGAUAGCUAAUACCGCAUAAUAUUGAUUAUUCCAUGAUAAUUGAUUGAAGGAUGCUAUUGCAUCACUACCAGAUGGACCUGCGUUGUAUUAGCUAGUAGGUGAGGUAACGGCUCACCUAGGCGACGAUACAUAGCCGACCUGAGAGGGUGAUCGGCCACACUGGGACUGAGACACGGCCCAGACUCCUACGGGAGGCAGCAGGAGGGAAUCUUCGGCAAUGGACGAAAGUCUGACCGAGCAACGCCGCGUGAGUGAAGAAGGUUUUCGGAUCGUAAAGCUCUGUUGUAAGAGAAGAACGGGUGUGAGAGUGGAAAGUUCACACUGUGACGGUAUCCUACCAGAAAGGGACGGCUAACUACGUG
Molecule: ribosomal RNA, 505 nt
Filed under: uncultured bacterium
Lineage: Bacteria
Description: partial 16S ribosomal RNA
Rfam family: Bacterial small subunit ribosomal RNA
Source: RNAcentral